Molecule: ribosomal RNA, 371 nt
Filed under: uncultured bacterium
Lineage: Bacteria
Description: bacterial SSU rRNA
Rfam family: Bacterial small subunit ribosomal RNA
Source: RNAcentral
GUAGGGUGCGAGCGUUGUCCGGAAUUACUGGGCGUAAAGAGCUCGUAGGUGGUUUGUUGCGUUGUCCGUGAAAUCCCACGGCUUAACUGUGGGCGUGCGGGCGAUACGGGCAGACUAGAGUGCUGCAGGGGAGACUGGAAUUCCUGGUGUAGCGGUGGAAUGCGCAGAUAUCAGGAGGAACACCGGUGGCGAAGGCGGGUCUCUGGGCAGCUACUGACGCUGAGGAGCGAAAGCGUGGGGAGCGAACAGGAUUAGAUACCCUGGUAGUCCACGCCGUAAACGGUGGGUACUAGGUGUGGGUUCUUUCCUAAGGAUCCGUGCCGUAGCUAACGCAUUAAGUACCCCGCCUGGGGAGUACGGCCGCAAGGCUA